CUUAGUACGGCGAGUGAAGCGGUAAAAGCUCAAAUUUGAAAUCUGGUACUUUCAGUGCCCGAGUUGUAAUUUGUAGAAUUUGUCUUUGAUUAGGUCCUUGUCUAUGUUCCUUGGAACAGGACGUCAUAGAGGGUGAGAAUCCCGUUUGGCGAGGAUACCUUUUCUCUGUAAGACUUUUUCGAAGAGUCGAGUUGUUUGGGAAUGCAGCUCAAAGUGGGUGGUAAAUUCCAUCUAAAGCUAAAUAUUGGCGAGAGACCGAUAGCGAACAAGUACAGUGAUGGAAAGAUGAAAAGAACUUUGAAAAGAGAGUGAAAAAGUACGUGAAAUUGUUGAAAGGGAAGGGCAUUUGAUCAGACAUGGUGUUUUUUGCAUGCACUCGCCUCUCGUGGGCUUGGGCCUCUCAAAAAUUUCACUGGGCCAACAUCAAUUCUGGCAGCAGGAUAAAUCAUUAAGAAUGUAGCUACUUCGGUAGUGUUAUAGCUUUUUGGAAUACUGUUAGCCGGGAUUGAGGACUGCGCUUCGGCAAGGAUGUUGGCAUAAUGGUUAAAUGCCGCCCGUC
RNAcentral lists this ribosomal RNA (559 nucleotides) under Hanseniaspora uvarum. RNAcentral's name for it is "partial large subunit ribosomal RNA". It matches the Rfam family "Eukaryotic large subunit ribosomal RNA", at positions 79 to 653 of the family's 3401-position model. Lineage: Eukaryota; Fungi; Ascomycota; Saccharomycetes; Saccharomycodales; Saccharomycodaceae. The record is from RNAcentral.